CGAAGGGUGCUAGCGUUGUUCGGAAUCACUGGGCGUAAAGCGCGCGUAGGCGGCUUUGCAAGUCAGAGGUGAAAUCCUGAGGCUCAACCUCAGAAUUGCCUUUGAAACUGCAAAGCUAGAGUGUCGGAGGGGAUAGCGGAAUUGCUAAUGUAGAGGUGAAAUUCGUAGAUAUUAGCAGGAACACCGGUGGCGAAGGCGGCUAUCUGGACGACAACUGACGCUGAGGCGCGAAAGCGUGGGGAUCAAACAGGAUUAGAUACCCUGGUAGUCCACGCUGUAAACGAUGGAUGCUAGCCGUUGGGGGGUUACCCUUCAGUGGCGCAGCUAACGCGUUAAGCAUCCCGCCUGGGGAGUACGGUCGCAAGAUUA
RNAcentral lists this ribosomal RNA (369 nucleotides) under uncultured organism. RNAcentral describes it as "bacterial SSU rRNA". It matches the Rfam family "Bacterial small subunit ribosomal RNA", at positions 526 to 896 of the family's 1533-position model. The record is from RNAcentral.